RNAcentral lists this long non-coding RNA (2999 nucleotides) under Ananas comosus (pineapple). RNAcentral describes it as "long non-coding RNA (ACOM_LNC027750)". The record is from RNAcentral. Lineage: Eukaryota; Viridiplantae; Streptophyta; Magnoliopsida; Poales; Bromeliaceae.
UAAUGAUGGAGCUUACGAAUCAACAAUCCAUACCGUCAGAUAUAAUUUAAAGUAUUUAAACUUUUAGAAAAUAAAUUUCAUAAUUUUUCAAAAUUAUAAUAAAGUCCAUUAAGCGGGUAUAAAAUACAUCGUCAAAAUUGAAUGAUGUCUUAAAAAUAGAUGAUCGGAUUCUUCAAUUUAAGAUCAGAGUUAUUGAUUUUUGUCUAGAUAGUGAAUAAAUUUUUUUAUCAAAAAUUCAACCAAUUUUGAUUCUUUUACACUAUUAAACUAGUGAGUGUUCUAUACUGGACAUUAAAAACUAUCAAUUUUGAGAUUUUUUAAUCACAAGGUAAAUAAUAUUGAAAAAUUAUAAAAUUUGAUUUCUAAAAGUUUUAAAUACUCUAGAUAAUAUUUAGCUGUAUGAAUCAUCGAUUUGAAAGCUCUAUCAACGAAAAUAGCUUAUGAGGAUGCAGGCAAUCGUACUCAUAAGAAUAUAAUAGCUGGACUAUAUAUAUAUAUAGUGUGAGGCUACUAUGCUAUUGGAAGCACGAAGCCUUCCGUGCUUCCAGCUCGUUUUCGAUGUUGCGACUUUCGAAUCGUCAAUUGACUCCGUUAAACUUGAUCUAGAGUAUUUGAAGUACCUAGAAAAUAAAUUUGAUGAUUUUUCGACAUCAUUUGCCUAGUGAUCAAAGGAGCUCAAAAUCAAUAAUUUUAAUGGCCGUAGUGAACCGUUUGCAUGUUUAACGAUGUAGAAAUAUCCAAAUCACGUGAAAUUUUGAUAGAAAAUUCUUUAUACUAUAUAAAACAAGAUCAAUAUCUUUGAUCUAAAAUUUUAAUAUCAUAUUAUCACGUUUUGUAAGAUUUUUAUUUUCAGCCGUUGAUUUUGAGCCCCUUCGUUCACUAGGUAAUAAUAUCGAAAAAUCGCAUAAUUUAUUUUCUAGGUACUUCAAAUAUUCUAGAUCAAGUUUAACAGAGUCGAUCGACGAUUCGAAAGUCGCAACAUCGAAAACGAGCUGGAAGCACGGAAGGCUCCGUGUUUCUAGAAACUUUGAUUGCUAGGUAAAUGAUAUCGAAAAAUCGCAAAAAUUAUUUUCUAGAAACUUUAAAUACGCUAGAUCAAGUUUAACGGAACCGAUCGUCGAUUCGAAAACUCCAUCAUCGAAAACGGCUCAGGAGCACAGAGACCUCCGUGCUCCUGAGAGCACAGUAGCCUUGCUAUAUAUAUAUAUAUAUAUAUAUAUAUAUAGCACAAGACCUUAACGUACUUGUGAUUUUUUAGCCGUCAGAUCGCUUCAAGAUCCGUGAAGCACUAGUGUAAUGGGGCCUUAGUGGGACACUGUUAAUAGUACUGUAUGGAUUUUGAGGCGAUCCGACGGCUAAAAAGUCACAAGCACAAAUGUUCCUAUACUUUUAAAAGCACAGGAGCUCAACUCUCUAUACAUAUGCACGCACGCGCACACACAUACGUAUUGAGAGAGAGAGAGUGUGUGUGUGUUUGGCUUGUGCACUUUUAGAAGCAUGGUGGCCUCCGUGCUAUCAAAUUAUUUUUGAUGCUGUGACUUCUGAAUUGGCGAUCUGCUUCAUUAGACUUGAUCUAGAGUAUUGAAAGUAUAUAGAAAAUAAAUUUUAUGAUUUUUUAUUAUCAUUUACUUUGUGAUUGAAAGACUCAAAAUCAAUAUCUGAAAAUAAAAAUCUCACAAAAAGUGAUAAUAUAAUACUAAAAUUGUAGAUAAAAAACAUUAAUCUUGUUUUAUAUAGUAUAAAAAAAUUUUGUCAAAUUUCAUCUGAUUUUGAUAUUUCUACACCAUUAAACUUGCAAACGGCUCCCCACAACAACUAAAAUUGUGGAUUUUGGGUCCCUUCAAUCACUAGGUAGAUAAUAUUGAAAAUCGCAAAAUUUAUUUUCUAAAUAAUUCAUAUACUUUAGAUCAAGUCUAACAUAGUCGAUCGUCGAUUCAGAAUUUCCAGCAUCGAAAACGACUUGACAGUACGGAGGCCCUCUCUCUCUCUCUCUCUCUCUCUCUCCCUCCCUCCCUCCCUCUCAGUCACUCACUCACAAUCCGAUCGCACGAAAGUCUUUGUGCCANNNNNNNNNNNNNNNNNNNNNNNNNAAAGAGAGAGAUCUGGACAUAAAAACUAUCAUUUGGAGAUUUUUAAUCACAAGGUAAAUAAUAUUUGAAAAAUUAAAAUUUGAUUUCUAAAAGUUUUAAAUACUCUAGAUAAUAUUUACUGUAAGAUCAUGAUUGAAACUCUAUCAAAGAAAUAGCUUAUGAGGAUGCAGGCAACGUACUCAUAAGAAUAUAAUAGCUGGACUAUAUAAUAUAUAUAGUGUAGCUACUAUGCUGCUUGAAGCACGAAGCCUUCCGUGCUUCCGCUCGUUUUCGAUGUUGCGACUUUCGAAUCGUCAUUGACUCCGUUAAACUUGAUCUAGAGUAUUUGAAGUACCUAGAAAAUAAAUUUGAUGUUUUUCGACAUCAUUUGCCUAGUGAUCAAAGGAGCUAAAAUCAAUAAUUAAAAUGGCCGUAGUGAACCGUUUGCAUGUUUAACGAUGUAGAAAUAUACCAAUCACCGUGAAAUUUUGAUAGAAAAUUCUUUAUACUAUAUAAAACAAGUCAAUAUCUUUGAUCUAAAUUUUAAUAUCAUAUUAUCACGUUUUGUAAGAUUUUUAUUUUCAGCGUUGAUUUUGAGCCCCUUCGUUCACUAGGUAAUAAUAUCGAAAAAUCGCAUAAUUUAUUUCUAGGUACUUCAAAUAUUCUAGAUCAAGUUUAACAGAGUCGUCGACGAUUCGAAAGUCGCAACAUCGAAACAGACUGGAAGCACGGAACUGCCGUGUUUCUAGAAACUUUGAUUGCUAGGUAAAUGAUAUCGAAAAAUCGCAAAAAUUAUUUUCGAAAACUUUAAAUACGCUAGAUCAAGUUUAACGGAACGAUCGUCGAUUCGAAAACUCCAUCAUCGAAAACGCGCUCAGGAGCAAGAGACCUCCGUGCUCCUGAGAGCACAGUAGCCUUGCUAUAUAUAUA